CCUACGGGUGGCAGCAGUGGGAAAUAUUGCACAAUGGGCGAAAGCCUGAUGCAGCAACGCCGCGUGAAGGAAGACGGUUUUCGGAUUGUAAACUUCUGUUCUUAGUGAAGAAUAAUGACGGUAACUAAGGAGCAAGCCACGGCUAACUACGUGCCAGCAGCCGCGGUAAUACGUAGGUGGCAAGCGUUGUCCGGAUUUACUGGGUGUAAAGGGCGUGCAGCCGGAGAGACAAGUCAGAUGUGAAAUCCACGGGCUCAACCCGUGAACUGCAUUUGAAACUGUUUCCCUUGAGUGUCGGAGAGGUAAUCGGAAUUCCUUGUGUAGCGGUGAAAUGCGUAGAUAUAAGGAAGAACACCAGUGGCGAAGGCGGAUUACUGGACGAUAACUGACGGUGAGGCGCGAAAGCGUGGGGAGCAAACAGGAUUAGAUACCCCAGUAGUC
Molecule: ribosomal RNA, 441 nt
Filed under: uncultured bacterium
Lineage: Bacteria
Description: partial 16S ribosomal RNA
Rfam family: Bacterial small subunit ribosomal RNA
Source: RNAcentral